Molecule: ribosomal RNA, 463 nt
Filed under: uncultured bacterium
Lineage: Bacteria
Description: partial 16S ribosomal RNA
Rfam family: Bacterial small subunit ribosomal RNA
Source: RNAcentral
GACGAACGCUGGCGGCGUGCUUAACACAUGCAAGUCGAACGGAAAGGCCCCUUUGGGGGUACUCGAGUGGCGAACGGGUGAGUAACACGUGAGUAACCUGCCCUUGACUUCGGGAUAACUUCAGGAAACUGGGGCUAAUACCGGAUAGGAAUCCUUGCUGCAUGGUGGGGGUUGGAAAGCUUCGGCGGUUUUGGAUGGACUCGCGGCUUAUCAGCUUGUUGGUGGGGUAGUGGCUUACCAAGGCUUUGACGGGUAGCCGGCCUGAGAGGGCGACCGGCCACAUUGGGACUGAGAUACGGCCCAGACUCCUACGGGAGGCAGCAGUGGGGAAUAUUGCACAAUGGGCGGAAGCCUGAUGCAGCAACGCCGCGUGCGGGAUGACGGCCUCGGGUUGUAAACCGCUUUCAGCAGGGGCGAAGCUUUUGUGACGGUACCUGCAGAAGAAGCACCGGCUAACUACGUG